RNAcentral lists this ribosomal RNA (200 nucleotides) under uncultured bacterium. Its description in RNAcentral is "partial 16S ribosomal RNA". It matches the Rfam family "Bacterial small subunit ribosomal RNA", at positions 8 to 222 of the family's 1533-position model. The record is from RNAcentral.
AGAGUUUGAUCCUGGCUCAGAACGAACGCUGGCGGCAGGCCUAACACAUGCAAGUCGAACGCCCUAGCAAUAGGGAGUGGCAGACGGGUGAGUAACGCGUGGGAACAUGCCCUUUGGUUCGGAAUAGCUCAGGGAAACUUGGAUUAAUACCGGAUACGUCCAUUGCUUUGACUGGCUUUGGAGAAAGAUUUAUCGCCGAA